AACGAACGCUGGCGGCAGGCCUAACACAUGCAAGUCGAGCGGACCCUUCGGGGUUAGCGGCGGACGGGUGAGUAACGCGUGGGAAUAUGCCCUUCUCUACGGAAUAGACCUGGGAAACUGGGGGUAAUACCGUAUACGCCCUUUGGGGGAAAGAUUUAUCGGGGAAGGAUUAGCCCGCGUUGGAUUAGGUAGUUGGUGGGGUAAUGGCCUACCAAGCCGACGAUCCAUAGCUGGUUUGAGAGGAUGAUCAGCCACACUGGGACUGAGACACGGCCCAGACUCCUACGGGAGGCAGCAGUGGGGAAUCUUAGACAAUGGGGGCAACCCUGAUCUAGCCAUGCCGCGUGAGUGAUGAAGGCCUUAGGGUUGUAAAGCUCUUUCAGCUGGGAAGAUAAUGACGGUACCAGCAGAAGAAGCCCCGGCUAACUCCGUG
Molecule: ribosomal RNA, 433 nt
Filed under: uncultured bacterium
Lineage: Bacteria
Description: partial 16S ribosomal RNA
Rfam family: Bacterial small subunit ribosomal RNA
Source: RNAcentral